AUUAAUCUGAUGACACCAUAGUUCAACUGAUGCAUGUGAUGACAUAACUGUAAAUUAGUCUUUCGCUCCUAUCUGACCAUUAUC
This is a small nucleolar RNA of Eurytemora carolleeae, 84 nucleotides long. RefSeq annotates it as small nucleolar RNA snR60/Z15/Z230/Z193/J17. The transcript has a single exon. The record is from RefSeq and is a predicted model, not a curated record. Lineage: Eukaryota; Metazoa; Arthropoda; Copepoda; Calanoida; Temoridae.